CCUCAUCACUGCAGCAAAAGGGUGAAGCAGUGAAAAAUAACUGCAACAAUGCCUAAUGGACACCAUUCGUUUCUGCCACUUCCCUUGCUGCCAUGGGAUGAGCAGUUGUCUUCCACUGGGUCGUUUGUGCCUUGGAGACAGCCAGCUUUGGAUUGAAACUGUGAGCC
Cavia porcellus (domestic guinea pig) is the source of this 167-nucleotide long non-coding RNA. RefSeq lists it as uncharacterized. Lineage: Eukaryota; Metazoa; Chordata; Mammalia; Rodentia; Caviidae. The transcript has 3 exons. The record is from RefSeq and is a predicted model, not a curated record.